This is a small nucleolar RNA of Grammomys surdaster, 131 nucleotides long. RefSeq annotates it as small nucleolar RNA SNORA71. NCBI's taxonomy places the organism in Eukaryota, Metazoa, Chordata, Mammalia, Rodentia, Muridae. The transcript has a single exon. The record is from RefSeq and is a predicted model, not a curated record.
CCCUGCAUCCGAAAGUGAUCUUGGCUGCGUGUGCUGAGGUCAUUGGUAACGCAGGGAAAGGAUGCUGAAAGACAUGUUCUGAGUUCGGGGUGUCUGUUCCUGACUCCUCCAGCUCCUGGAGCUUUCCUACA